AUAUACGUAUUAUCCCCUCUAGUAUUAUGUUUAUCAAAAGGGUAGUAAGCUCUUGAUACUUAAUCAAGUGGUUUUGAUAUUGUGAUAUUAGUGUUUGAUAUUUAUGCUGUUUUUUUGUAUUAAGAGGUAUCGCUAUUCUGGCAUAUUGUCGUCUUAAAUAUAAAAUAUAAGUGAUGGAUAAUUCUACGGCACAGAGUGUAGAACAAACUUUUGGUAAAACGUUUCUGCAAUACUGUUUAGAUAAUAAAAUAUUACUCAAACGUGAUAAAUGUGGUGCUUUUGAAGUGUCUGGGACAUCAAAUAAUAUUAGAACUUUAUCAGACUGUUUAUAUAUUAUUGACAACAUUAAAUUGGAAACAAAUAAGAAACUAAAAAAGUUACAAAAAGAAGCAUUGACUGCAGACUAUUCACCCUAUUCAGCUCUAAUAAAGGCUAGAACUAAAACGAACAAAAGUAAAGUGAAAAAUAUUUUUAAAAGAAAAUGUGUAUGAAUUUAUGAUAAAUGACUUCUGGAAAUAAUAAUGGAACAUUAUAUAUCAUACAUUCAACUUGGAACUCCAUCCAAAGGAAAUUUAAGAAAGGAAUAAGUUCAGAAAUCUUGCAGCCUGAUACAAAAUGUAAUGAAUGGAAGCCGCUAAUAGGUAUUAUACCAUUUACCGUAAGAAACCUGAGAUAAAUCAUUUGAAUAUAACAUUCAAAUUUUUAAAACAGUUGCAUACUGUAAUAUUUAGAAUCGCUAAUUUUGAAAAUAAAUGGGGAGCAAUUGUUCAACACAGACGUGAUACAGUAACAACACAUUUAUAUUUUAUAUCCUAUAACAGGUCUUUUUGCUCCUAAAAUAUAAGGUAAAAAUAGAUGAAAAGAUUAAUGUCAUAACAAAAGGAGUGGUUCAAGGUUCAAUUAUAUCACCUAUUUUAUCAGAUAUAUAUUAUAAUUUUAUAUUACAUAAGGCAACAAAUUUAACAAUUGGUACAGUUAUAAAUAUGUAAAUGAUAUUUU
This is an RNA transcript of Bombus impatiens (common eastern bumble bee), 999 nucleotides long. RefSeq lists it as uncharacterized. The record is from RefSeq and is a predicted model, not a curated record. Lineage: Eukaryota; Metazoa; Arthropoda; Insecta; Hymenoptera; Apidae. The transcript is spliced from 6 exons.